GAUCCUGGCUCAGGAUGAACGCUAGCGGCAGGCUUAACACAUGCAAGUCGAGGGGCAUCGGGAGUAGCAAUACUUGCCGGCGACCGGCGCAAGGGUGCGUAACGCGUGAGCAACAUGCCCGUAUCAGGGGGAUAAUCCAUGGAAACGUGGUCUAAUACCCCAUAGUAAUUAUGUAAGGCAUCUUAUAUAAUUUAAAGCUUUGGUGGAUACGGAUUGGCUCGCGUGACAUUAGCUGGAUGGUAAGGUAACGGCUUACCAUGGCUACGAUGUCUAGGGGUUCUGAGAGGAAGGUCCCCCACACUGGAACUGAGACACGGUCCAGACUCCUACGGGAGGCAGCAGUGAGGAAUAUUGGACAAUGGAUGGAAAUCUGAUCCAGCCAUGCCGCGUGCAGGAAGACGGCCCUAUGGGUUGUAAACUGCUUUUGUAUGGGAGCAAUAAGGGCUACGUGUAGUCCGAUGAGAGUACCAUACGAAUAAGCACCGGCUAACUCCGUGCCAGCCGCCGC
This 508-nucleotide ribosomal RNA is filed under the name uncultured bacterium. RNAcentral's name for it is "bacterial SSU rRNA". It matches the Rfam family "Bacterial small subunit ribosomal RNA", at positions 15 to 518 of the family's 1533-position model. The record is from RNAcentral.